Molecule: ribosomal RNA, 461 nt
Filed under: uncultured Methylomirabilota bacterium
Lineage: Bacteria; Methylomirabilota (SeqCode)
Description: bacterial SSU rRNA
Rfam family: Bacterial small subunit ribosomal RNA
Source: RNAcentral
GGGCUUGACAUCCCACGAACCUGCCUGAAAGGGCGGGGUGCCCGCAAGGGAGCGUGGAGACAGGUGGUGCAUGGCUGUCGUCAGCUCGUGUCGUGAGAUGUUGGGUUAAGUCCCGCAACGAGCGCAACCCUCACCCCUAGUUGCCACCGGGUAAUGCCGAGCACUCGAGGGGAACUGCCAGCGUCAAGCUGGAGGAAGGCGGGGAUGACGUCAAGUCAUCAUGCCCCUUACGCCCUGGGCUACACACGUGCUACAAUGGCCGGCACAAAGGGAUGCGAGACCGUAAGGUGGAGCUAAUCCCAAAAAGCUGGUCUAAGUUCAGAUUGCAGUCUGCAACUCGACUGCAUGAAGGAGGAAUCGCUAGUAAUCGCGCAUCAGCACGGCGCGGUGAAUACGUUCCCGGGCCUUGUACACACCGCCCGUCACACCACGAAAGCUGGCUGUACUCGAAGUCGCUGAGA